GCGGAGGAAAAGAAACCAACAGGGAUUGCCUUAGUAACGGCGAGUGAAGCGGCAACAGCUCAAAUUUGAAAUCUGGGUCCUUAGGGCCUCGAGUUGUAAUUUGUAGAGGAUGCUUUGGGGUCGGCGUUGGCCUAAGUCCCUUGGAACAGGGCGUCACAGAGGGUGAGAAUCCCGUACGUGGUCGGCGGCCGUCCCCGUGUAAAGCUCCUUCGACGAGUCGAGUUGUUUGGGAAUGCAGCUCUAAAUGGGAGGUAAAUUUCUUCUAAAGCUAAAUACCGGCCAGAGACCGAUAGCGCACAAGUAGAGUGAUCGAAAGAUGAAAAGCACUUUGGAAAGAGAGUUAAAAAGUACGUGAAAUUGUUGAAAGGGAAGCGCUUGCGACCAGACUUGCCCGCGACUGCUCAGCAGGCCUUCUCGGCCUGUGCACUCUUUCGCGGUCAGGCCAGCAUCAGUUUGGGCGGUCGGACAAAGGCGCCGGGAACGUAGCUCCACUCGGGGAGUGUUAUAGCCCGGCGUGCAAUGCGGCCAGCCCGGACUGAGGCCCGCGCUUCGGCUAGG
RNAcentral lists this ribosomal RNA (558 nucleotides) under Oncopodiella trigonella. RNAcentral's name for it is "eukaryotic LSU rRNA". It matches the Rfam family "Eukaryotic large subunit ribosomal RNA", at positions 50 to 610 of the family's 3401-position model. Lineage: Eukaryota; Fungi; Ascomycota; Dothideomycetes; Oncopodiellales; Oncopodiellaceae. The record is from RNAcentral.